This 464-nucleotide ribosomal RNA is filed under the name uncultured bacterium. RNAcentral's name for it is "partial 16S ribosomal RNA". It matches the Rfam family "Bacterial small subunit ribosomal RNA", at positions 28 to 506 of the family's 1533-position model. The record is from RNAcentral.
GACGAACGCUGGCGGCGUGCUUAACACAUGCAAGUCGUACGGUAAGGCCCUUUCGGGGGUACACGAGUGGCGAACGGGUGAGUAACACGUGAGUAACCUGCCCACAACUUUGGGAUAACGCUAGGAAACUGGUGCUAAUACUGGAUAUGUGCUCCUGCUGCAUGGUGGGGGUUGGAAAGCUCCGGCGGUUGUGGAUGGACUCGCGGCCUAUCAGCUUGUUGGUGGGGUAGUGGCCUACCAAGGCGGCGACGGGUAGCCGGCCUGAGAGGGUGACCGGCCACAUUGGGACUGAGAUACGGCCCAGCCUCCAACGGGAGGCAGCAGUGGGGAAUAUUGCACAAUGGGCGCAAGCCUGAUGCAGCAACGCCGCGUGCGGGAUGACGGCCUUCGGGUUGUAAACCGCUUUCAGCAGGGACGAAGCUUUUUGUGACGGUACCUGCAGAAGAAACACCGGCUAACUACGU